GUGCCAGCAGCCGCGGUAAGACAGAGGGCGCGAGCGUUGUUCGGAAUUACUGGGCGUAAAGCGCGCGCAGGCGGACCUGUGCGUCCGGAGUGAAAUCUCGCCGCUCAACGGCGAGGCUGCUUUGGAAACGGCAGGUCUGGGGACCGGUAGAGGCUGGUAGAAUUGCAGGUGUAGCGGUGGAAUGCGUAGAGAUCUGCAAGAAUACCCGUGGCGAAGGCGGCCAGCUGGGCCGGAUCCGACGCUGAGGCGCGAAAGCGUGGGGAGCAAACAGGAUUAGAUACCCUGGUAGUCC
Molecule: ribosomal RNA, 292 nt
Filed under: uncultured bacterium
Lineage: Bacteria
Description: partial 16S ribosomal RNA
Rfam family: Bacterial small subunit ribosomal RNA
Source: RNAcentral